GACGAACGCUGGCGGCGUGCUUAACACAUGCAAGUCGAACGAAAAGAGGGAAAGAGCUUGCCUCUUCCGGUAUCGAGUGGCAAACGGGUGAGAAACACGGAACCAACCUACCAUCAGGAUGGGACCAACAGACGGAAACGAUUGCAACUAACGAAAAAGUUCCAAGAAUGGCACGGCACAUGGAAAACAAGGUGGUCUCUACCAGUAAUCUAUCGCCUGAGGAGGGGUUCGCGUCUGAUGGGAUGGUUGGGGGGGGAAAGGCCCAACAACGCGACGGUCAGUAGCCGGUCUGCUAGGGUGUACGGCCACACUGGAACUGCGACCCGGUCCAGCCCCCUACGGGAGGCAGCAGUGGGGGAUCGUCCGCCAUGGGCGCAAGCCUGACGGAGCAACGCCGCGUGAGUGAUGACGGCCUUCGGGUUGUAAAACUCUGUGAUCCGGGACGAAAAGGCAGAGUGCGAAGAACAACCUGCAUUGACGGUACCGGAAAAGAAAGCCACGGCUAACUACGUG
Molecule: ribosomal RNA, 513 nt
Filed under: uncultured bacterium
Lineage: Bacteria
Description: partial 16S ribosomal RNA
Rfam family: Bacterial small subunit ribosomal RNA
Source: RNAcentral